AGCACGGGGCCGAGGUCACGGGUUUGGUGGUUCUCCUCGUCUGCGGACGGAGUCGCUGCAGGAGGGUGUGAGACGUGGAGGGUGAGACCACUGGCAGUGGGAGCCCUUGUUCUGAGUGAGUCCAUGACCUCCCAUCUCUAAGUCACCUCCACCUGAGGGACAGAAUCUCUGACAGGCUUGGAAAGCCCUCCUUCUCUGACGGGCAUAGCUCAUGUCCCCAGGAUCCAGCUGUAAAGUGCCUCAGGGUGCCUGGCAUGCUGUCUGUACCAACUGUAAACUGAACGUGAGUGCCUCAGUGACACCUCAUCAACGGAAUGUGGCAUCCGGUAAAUGACUUAGACUAAUGAAAGGUGGUCUAGUCAUGACUUUUCCCGCAGCUCCUCUGCCAUCGCAAAGGUCUCAAUAUUAGGAGCUAGGGACUGAUGCUGAUGCUGAGACUCCAAUAGU
This is a long non-coding RNA of Cervus elaphus (red deer), 447 nucleotides long. RefSeq lists it as uncharacterized. The record is from RefSeq and is a predicted model, not a curated record. The transcript is spliced from 3 exons. NCBI's taxonomy places the organism in Eukaryota, Metazoa, Chordata, Mammalia, Artiodactyla, Cervidae.